AUUGAACGCUGGCGGAAUGCUUUACACAUGCAAGUCGAACGGCAGCACGGGGCAACCUGGUGGCGAGUGGCGAACGGGUGAGUAAUAUAUCGGAACGUGCCCAAUCGUGGGGGAUAACGUAGCGAAAGUUACGCUAAUACCGCAUACGAUCUACGGAUGAAAGCGGGGGAUCGCAAGACCUCGCGCGAAUGGAGCGGCCGAUAUCAGAUUAGGUAGUUGGUGGGGUAAAGGCUCACCAAGCCAACGAUCUGUAGCUGGUCUGAGAGGACGACCAGCCACACUGGAACUGAGACACGGUCCAGACUCCUACGGGAGGCAGCAGUGGGGAAUUUGGACAAUGGGCGCAAGCCUGAUCCAGCCAUUCCGCGUGCAGGAUGAAGGCCUUCGGGUUGUAAACUGCUUUGUACGGAACGGAAACGGUCUGCCCUAAUACGGCAGGCUAAUGACGGUACCGUAAGAAUAAGACACCGGCUAACCUACGUGCCAGCAGCCGCGGUAAAACCAA
RNAcentral lists this ribosomal RNA (505 nucleotides) under uncultured bacterium. RNAcentral describes it as "bacterial SSU rRNA". It matches the Rfam family "Bacterial small subunit ribosomal RNA", at positions 30 to 529 of the family's 1533-position model. The record is from RNAcentral.